RNAcentral lists this ribosomal RNA (1213 nucleotides) under metagenome. RNAcentral describes it as "SSU rRNA". It matches the Rfam family "Eukaryotic small subunit ribosomal RNA", at positions 503 to 1774 of the family's 1831-position model. The record is from RNAcentral.
ACGGUAUUGCAAUGAGAACAAUUUAAAACCCUUAGCGAGAAUCAAGUGGAGGACAAGUCUGGUGCCAGCACCCGCGGUAAUUCCAGCUCCACUAGCGUAUAUUAAAGUUGUUGCAGUUAAAAAGCUCGUAGUUGAACCUCUGUCUGGGGCUAGUUUUGGCUUUGGUCAGGCUAGUUCUAGGCAUCCGCCUACAAGACUUAGAGGGCAUUCAGUUGUUCACUAGGAGGAGUAGGCAUUUUACUUUGAAAAAAUUAGAGUGUUUAAGGCAGGCAAUCGCCCGCAUAUAUUAGCAUGGAAUAAUAGAAUAGGACACUUUUCCAUUUCGUUGGUUAUUGGAAUCGUGUAAUGAUUAAUAGGGACAGUUGUGGGCAUUUGUAUUUAAUUGUCAGAGGUGAAAUUCUUGGAUUUAUUAAAGACAAACUAACGCGAAAGCAUUUGCCAAGGAUGUUUUCAUUAAUCAAGAACGAAAGUUAGGGGAUCAAAGACGAUCAGAUACCGUCCUAGUCUUAGCUAUAAACUAUUCCGACUCAAUGUUUGACUGGCUUAUAUAACCAGUUGAGCGUUGUAUGAGAAAUCAAAGUCUUUAGGUUCUGGGGGGAGUAUGGUUGCAAAGCUGAAACUUAAAGGAAUUGACGGAAGAGCACAACCAGGAGUGGAUUCUGCGGCUUAAUUUGACUCAACACGGGGAAACUUACCAGGUUAAAACAAUAGUGGGAUUGACAGUUUGAGAGCGCUUUCUUGAUUGGUUGGGUGGUGGUGCAUGGCCGUUCUUAGUUGGUGGAGUGAUUUGUCUGCUUAAUUGCGUUAACGAACGAGACCUUAACCUGCUUACUAGACUGGCGAUCAUCAAUCGUUAGCUCUUCUUAGAGGGACUUUGGUUGUUUUAACUCCAAGGAAGUUUGAGGCAAUAACAGGUCUGUGAUGCCCUUAGAUAUCCUGGGCCGCACGCGUCAUACAAUGACUAGUUCAGAAAGUUUUCUCCUGACCCGAAAGGGGAUGGGUAAUCUUGAUAAUACUAGUCGUGUUAGGGAUCGAUCUUUGCAAUUAUAGAUCUUGAACGAGGAAUUCCUAGUAAGUGCGGUUCAUCAGACCGUACUGAUUACGUCCCUGCUCUUUGUACACACCGCCCGUCGCUUCUACCGAGUGGGUGGUCCGGUGAGAUAAUUGAACUUCGCAGGUAACUGAGAGGAAAGAUUAUCAAACCUAUCCACCU